UCAAUAAGAUCAUAUUAUAAAAGGUCCCACGCUUUAAUAAUAAUAAUAAAAAAAAAAAAAAAGCAUUUGAGUGGCCUCUUUAAAUGUUACAGCUUAGUAGCCAUUAUGGAUAGUAGUCACAAUACGCAUACAAUAACUUAUUUUAGCAACUGUGUACGGUCCAUUAAAAUAGUUUACUUGUAUACUUGUGUCCAGCUCUCAUACCGAUAUUUAGAACCAAUAGAACUAAACGUAUUUAGCUUCGAAUAUGUUGUCUAAAAUUAUGCAAUGUCGAUUCUUCUAUUUUAGUAUUUAUGAAGACAAAUGUAAUCUGAAAAUCAUUCACGGCAUGUAGAUCUAUUGAUUGAUUAUUUUUAGUGCUCUACAUGUGGAAUUUGUGUCAUUGUGUCAUUUUCGAUUAAAUAAAAAGUAAUCCCGUUUUUUCCCCCCACCAUUUUAAUACUGUAAAAGACAGAAUUAAAGCAGUACUUCUCUACCAUCAGGCGUAUUUGAUUUAGAAAAACGCGCUAUAAAGUACUCUUUUCCAGAAAUAUUGUUACGUAUUGCUUUCGUAAUAAUCGUACGUUGUCACAAAGAAGGAGUCUGUCUAACAGAAUAAACAAAUUAUCAUUUUAUGAUGCCUGUAUAAUAAUAAAUGACAUUUGUAUUAUUAUACGAGGUCUUUCGUUAUUUUUAUUAUUAUAUUGAGCAACAGCACAGUAUUAUUACUGUAAUUUUUAUACAUAGAAUCUUGACAUUUGUUAAUAAAGUAUCAUUCGCGCCUACACACACACACACACACACACACACACUUGUUAAUGAAACAAUACAUCGUAGUGUAUUCAAGGACAGUAUUUUGUUUCGGUUCUAAAACACCAAACACAGUCUCGACAAGUGUCUUUUGACAAUUACUUAAGUGUGUAUAAUUAAGCAUAUGCACAAUGCGACGCUCUUUUAAACAUCAUUAGUGUCUUAACUACUAAUACGGUGUUUCAAAUUUGCAUUAUAGUUCCAAGAAAAUAAGCAGUUGUGACUAAUUCAAUUAGUUUCGCAACAUACUUUUAAGACGGGAAUGCAGACACUAAUACGAUUUAAUUACGGCCAUAAUUUACAUUUAGAUUAACUGCGACGUUUUUAUCUUAUUAUUCUCCUCCAUAAUAAUAAUAUUAAAACGAUGCUUUAAAUGAGUACAUCAGACUACCAAUAAUGAGACGUAAUUCGGUUAUAACACAAUUAUUUUAAUUAUAAAUAUUUCAUAACUUCGUAGGAAUGCACAGGAACUCGUUAAAAAAACUUCCCAAAGGCACCUUGAUAAAAUUGAUCGUCCUUAUUAAAUUUCCCUAAUAGAAGAGAAAAACAAAAAAAAAAAAAAGGUGAAGGGU
RNAcentral lists this long non-coding RNA (1361 nucleotides) under Androctonus crassicauda. Lineage: Eukaryota; Metazoa; Arthropoda; Arachnida; Scorpiones; Buthidae. The record is from RNAcentral.